This 1917-nucleotide small RNA is filed under the name Oscillatoria princeps NIVA-CYA 150. Its description in RNAcentral is "bacterial SSU rRNA". The stretch from base 1 to 1140 matches the Rfam family "Bacterial small subunit ribosomal RNA", at positions 376 to 1533 of the family's 1533-position model. The record is from RNAcentral. Lineage: Bacteria; Bacillati; Cyanobacteriota; Cyanophyceae; Oscillatoriales; Oscillatoriaceae.
CGAAAGCCUGACGGAGCAAGACCGCGUGAGGGACGAAGGCUCUUGGGUUGUAAACCUCUUUUCUCAGGGAAGAAACCUGACGGUACCUGAGGAAUAAGCAUCGGCUAACUCCGUGCCAGCAGCCGCGGUAAGACGGAGGAUGCAAGCGUUAUCCGGAAUGAUUGGGCGUAAAGCGUUCGCAGGUGGCUGUUCAAGUCGGCUGUCAAAGACUGGGGCUUAACCCCGGAAAGGCAGUGGAAACUGAACGGCUAGAGUGCAUUAGGGGUAGAGGGAAUUCCCAGUGUAGCGGUGAAAUGCGUAGAGAUUGGGAAGAACACCGGUGGCGAAAGCGCUCUGCUGGACUGCAACUGACACUGAGGGACGAAAGCUAGGGGAGCGAAAGGGAUUAGAUACCCCUGUAGUCCUAGCCGUAAACGAUGGAUACUAGGCGUUGCCGGGCUCGACCCUGGCAGUGCCGGAGCUAACGCGUUAAGUAUCCCGCCUGGGAAGUACGCACGCAAGUGUGAAACUCAAAGGAAUUGACGGGGGCCCGCACAAGCGGUGGAGUAUGUGGUUUAAUUCGAUGCAACGCGAAGAACCUUACCAGGGCUUGACAUGUCGCGAACCCCGCUGAAAGGUGGGGGUGCCUUAGGGAGCGCGAACACAGGUGGUGCAUGGCUGUCGUCAGCUCGUGUCGUGAGAUGUUGGGUUAAGUCCCGCAGCGAGCGCAACCUUCGUGUUCAGUUGCCAUCAUUAAGUUGGGAACUCUGAACAGACUGCCGGUGACAAACCGGAGGAAGGUGGGGAUGACGUCAAGUCAGCAUGCCCCUUACGUCCUGGGCAACACACGUACUACAAUGCUGCGGACAGAGGGUACCGAGCCGGUGACGGCAAGCCAAUCCCGCAAACCGUGGCUCAGUUCAAAUCGCAGGCUGCAACUCGCCUGCGUGAAGGCGGAAUCGCUAGUAAUCGCAGGUCAGCAUACUGCGGUGAAUACGUUCCCGGGCCUUGUACACACCGCCCGUCACACCAUGGGAGCUGGUUUAGCCCGAAGUCGUUACUCUAACCGAAAGGGGGAGGACGCCGAAGGCUGGGCUGGUGACUGGGGUGAAGUCGUAACAAGGUAGCCGUACCGGAAGGUGUGGCUGGAUCACCUCCUUUUUAGGGAGACCAACUUGUCUGUGACGCAUUACCCAACAGAAAUAAAGCGUGCAGUCAAGUCAUCCCAAGGUCGAGCGAGGUUUUUGAGAAAAAGGCUUUCAAACUAUACUCGGGUUCGGCGCUUUGAGCGCAUAGAUUUGAGAUGUAAAUCAGAUUGAAUCUAAAAUUGUCAGUCAAAAGUCUUGACAGUCUCGGGAGAGGAUGUGUUAAGAUGAAAGACCGGGGGAACCCCCCAGAGCCAGUCAAAGCGCAGCCGGCAAUUUGAGAAAAAAUCCAGAAAAAGGGUUGACAAUCAAAAAGCAGCCGUGCUAAAGUAAAAGGCCGGGGCGGAAAAAAGAGUGGGUGAGUUGAGAGACGACCCCAGCUUAUGAGUUCAGCCAGCCGGCGCAAAGAAAAAAAAUUCCAUCAAAGGGAUUGACAGUCAAAAAGCAGCCGUGCUAAAGUAAAAGACCGGGGCGGAAAAAAAACUGGAACAGUUAAGCAACAACCCAAGUUGAAGAUGUAAGCCAGCCGGCUCAAAGAAAAAAAAUUCCGCCAAAGGGAUUGACAGUUAAAAAGCCGUCGUGCUAAACUAAAAGACCGGGGCGGAAAAAAGAAGCGAGAGAUUUCAGCAACGACCCAAGUAAUGGACUUGAGCGCCUGCUGGAUUCUAUCCAGUCAGAACCUUGAAAACUGCAUAGCAACUUGUCAGGGAGAAGCUUUUAGUGAAGAGCUGAAAGCUAAUCAAACAGACAUCAAUGUUAAACGUGGUCAAGCUACAAAGAGCUGAUGGUGGAU